RNAcentral lists this transfer RNA (37 nucleotides) under Brotogeris chiriri. RNAcentral describes it as "partial tRNA-Pro". Lineage: Eukaryota; Metazoa; Chordata; Aves; Psittaciformes; Psittacidae. The record is from RNAcentral.
UCAGAAAAUAGUUUAAUGUAAAAUGCCAGCAUUNGGA